This 63-nucleotide transfer RNA is filed under the name Lens contradens. RNAcentral describes it as "tRNA-Glu". Lineage: Eukaryota; Metazoa; Mollusca; Bivalvia; Unionida; Unionidae. The record is from RNAcentral.
ACCAAUUAAGUGUUAACGCACAUUGACUUUUCACGUCAAAAGAGCACAUUUGUGUAAUUGGCU